This 252-nucleotide non-coding RNA is filed under the name Bacillus sp. (in: firmicutes). Its description in RNAcentral is "Bacillus sp. T-box sequence". It matches the Rfam family "T-box leader". From Rfam's summary of the family: Uncharged tRNA acts as the effector for transcription antitermination of genes in the T-box leader family. T-boxes are found upstream of many aminoacyl-tRNA synthetase genes and some amino acid biosynthetic genes usually in Gram-positive bacteria. RNAcentral also lists the same sequence under 1 other name. The record is from RNAcentral. Lineage: Bacteria; Bacillati; Bacillota; Bacilli; Caryophanales; Bacillaceae.
GAAAAAUCGAUGACGAGAACAAGUACGUAAGGAAGAACUUUAACAGCGAGCUGGGGGUUGGUGGAAGCCAGUAGGGAAGCCUUAUCGGAAUAAAUCAUCUCUGAGAUGCAAGACUGAAGCUAAGCUGAAUUCAGUAAGUCUUGACGGGUUUCCGCCGUUAAAAGGAACACGUAUGAUUGUACGGUGACAAAGUGCUGUUGGUUUUAUCAACAGAAUUUGGGUGGUAACGCGGGUAAUACACUCGUCCCUAUC